UUUUUUUUUUUUUUUCCAAGAACCUUCUCAGAUACUCCAUAACUUCCUUUGUACACAGUGUAUUUGGAUCUAUAAAGUCCAAAGCACUGGACCCAAACUCAAAGUUCUCAUCCAACCACUCAGUCUUCCCUUAGCUGAUGGGGUCAUUAUCUUUUUGAUGGAGAAUUCUUGCUCUCACUUUCCUCCAUGCUGAAUCUCCCACUGAUUGAUUCUAGGCGAGGAAGCAUUUCUAUCUGUGUAGUUGUCUUCAGGGAUAAAAUCAGAUACUUUCCAUUCUUGGUAAACAUAGUUGAAAGGGACUUCCAAUAUUUGAGGCCACCAGAAUCCUAGCUUUUUGGUGGUAGGAAUUGUGGGUUUUUUAACUCUGAAUUUCCAGUGCGUUACACAGUGCCUAGCAGACAAUGGUGCUUAGUAAAUCUCAUAAAUGAAUGUUUUUAUUACAUUCUCAGUAGAGUGGCAUGGAUUUAGAAGAAUGGAACUGCCCUGCACAAAAUAGGCAAGGCAUAAUGCAUUCAUUGUUGACUAAAGGAGCUCAACUUGAACUAGAGUAUAUCUUGGUGGUGGUGGUGGGGGGGUGGUUUCCAGAUGCUUCCAUUGAAACUAGAGCUUCAUUAUAUCAUUGUUAUAUCUACUAAGUCCAAGUUCUCAGCUCCCAGAAAAAGUAUAGUCAAUGUAUAGAACUUUCUCAGUUUGAUGUUUCUUAUUCUUUUCCUCCCACAAUUCUUUUUCUUAAACUUCAUGUUUGCUUGUGUGCUGGUGUCAAAACGCACACUUGAUCUCAAGUACUUUCUUCUUAGCCCAAGAGAAUCACUUCUCACCUCACAUUUGGAAGAUAGCCUUAUCUUAUUCAUUUUGCUCCUUCUAAAGAAUGACCUCUUAAAGUUUUCCUAUAUCAUAUUCUGAUACACAGAAACUGAAUAUCUAUCAUGGGAUUCCAUUUCCGCUUGAGGACAUCAUUCAUAGUUUUUACGAUGGAAUUAAUUUGCCAUGAUUUCAUGGGAUGCUAUUAAAACUAUUGAAGUUUCCCCAGCCAGCUUCAGGACCACUGGUAUAUCUGAAGCAGGAUGAUCUUGGGCCACAUUAUUAACCAGUCCUGUUGGACUCUUCCAUCAUGCUGUUCUUUCAUCUGACAAAAAGAUCUUUGUGGAAGCACAUAACUUAAGUUCAAUCCUCCACCUGGAAUUUCUGCUUCAUCAAUGCUAGCCAUGCUGCUGAUGCUGCCUGUGAGCAGGCAACUUGAACAGAUUUGGCUUGCUUCUUUGGAAUGACUUUUUUUUUUUUUUUUAAGGAAUAUCAAAGCAGAAUAUUCUAGAUCAUUUUCUCUCUCUGUUACUUAAAUGGGAAAGAACAGCUCUUAAAAAUGUCUUAUCAUUCAUGAAAUGUAUAUUUUGUCUUUGUCUGUACUGGUAAUGACAGCUUACUAUAUGUUGGAGACAGGAUGAUAAUUGACACAAAGCCAAUCCCUGUCAUCCUGGCCUUAUCAUCCAGCAGGGGAGACUAGACUGCCCUCCUAUGGUUUAAGAAAUAAUACAAGCACUUACCCGUCAUAGGUUUUUAAAAGAACCUAAGGGAGUCCUCUAACUUUGGAUCCAUGGUAACUAUUUUUAGCUUGAAGUUGGGAAAGUCUCACUUGUCCAUCUGAGAACUCCACUGGGUUCCUGGCAAAUGCAUCUAUUGGUAAGAUACUGAGGCCAGUCAGUUCUGUA
Molecule: long non-coding RNA, 1706 nt
Filed under: Canis lupus familiaris (dog)
Lineage: Eukaryota; Metazoa; Chordata; Mammalia; Carnivora; Canidae
Description: lncRNA (ENSCAFG00000053270.1, ENSCAFG00805010182.1, ENSCAFG00845007649.1)
Source: RNAcentral